UACGGGGGGGGCAAGCGUUGUUCGGAAUUACUGGGCGUAAAGGGUUCGUAGGUGGCCUACUAAGUCAGACGUGAAAUCCCUCAGCCUAACUGGGGAACUGCGUCUGAUACUGGGGGGCUUGAGGACAGGAGAGGAACGCGGAAUUCCAGGUGUAGCGGUGAAAUGCGUAGAUAUCUGGAGGAACACCGGUGGCGAAGGCGGCGUUCUGGACUGUUUCUGACACUGAGGAACGAAAGCCAGGGGAGCAAACGGG
This 253-nucleotide ribosomal RNA is filed under the name uncultured bacterium. RNAcentral's name for it is "partial 16S ribosomal RNA". It matches the Rfam family "Bacterial small subunit ribosomal RNA", at positions 524 to 776 of the family's 1533-position model. The record is from RNAcentral.